Long non-coding RNA from Heterocephalus glaber (naked mole-rat), 5239 nucleotides. Lineage: Eukaryota; Metazoa; Chordata; Mammalia; Rodentia; Bathyergidae. The record is from Ensembl.
AUUGUAAAAAUAAAACAAACAUUAAAAUAUGAAGUUCUUUCUAAUCCUCAAAACAUGCUCUGAAGGAUGAAUCAUUUUUUUGUUUCAGAAUUAAGUAGCUUGAGAAUAUAUAAUGGUAAUGGAUUUCUACUUAGUAAUACAGUAUUUCUGAACAUCAAUUAAAUGUAUAUAGUCUUCUUUAUAAACAUCUUUUCUUAUUAAAGAUUUGGAGCAUCAUCUGUAGGAAAAAUGAUAUUUUUAAGUAUUUUCAUUCCCAGGUUUUAUUUCUAGAAUAUAGAAUGAUGAAAUUAACAGUGUAAUAACACAUAUUUUAAUGUAAAUAUCUGUGGAAUUUUAAGUUUAAAAAUUACAUAAAUAUAAAAUUGAGAUUUUUAAUUCAUAUUCUUGUCUGGUUUUUUUAGUUUUCUAUGUGUGCAUGUGUGUAUGUGGCACUGGAAGUGGAACUCAGGAUCUUUGCACUCAGCUAAAUUUCCAACACUUAUUUCAUAUUUAAAAAAUAUUUUAGGACAGAGUCUCUCUAAUUCACUAAAUUGCCCAGGCUCAGCUUCAAUCUGCCAUGCUCCUGCCUCAGCCUCCAAGAGAGUGCUGAGAUUACAGGGGUGUGCCACUUCACUCAUCUUUAUUUUUUCUUUUAAAUCUCAUUAAAAUUACUAUGAUUUUCUUAAAAACUUAAUCCAAUGUUUUAGUUUUGAAAAGACAAAUAAAAUGUAGCAUUAAAAUUGUAUUUUACCUAUGUAGUUCUCUUAGAAUACUACUGCAUGAUCAUCCAGGUUAUAUUUGUUUAUUACCACUUAUCUACAUGUCUUUAGGCAACUUAAAUCAGUUGUAUUGUUUAUACAGUAAAACAAAAGCCAAUCUCAUGGUGUUAUCUGGGUAUUGAUGAUUCUUGUAAUGGAACUUGGGAAUCUACAUAUGAUAUAUAUGUAUAAAAUCACUGAGUAGAAGUUUCAAAAGCUUUAGAAGCAAGAUGUAGCUAUUUCUUUUACUUUUGUGUGCAUCUAUUUAAUGAUACUAAAUCUGAACUUAAAAUACAAUUUAAAACAUUGUAGAAAGUCCAGGUGUUUUCAAUUAGCCAAGCUUUAUUUAUCUUGAAACCAACCAUGACAUUCCAUUCAACCAGUGAAAAAUGUAGUCAUCAAGCGUGUAUUAAAAAGAUCUAUAAUAUUUAGAAACUAGCAAUCAAAGAAUCAAAUUUAGAAAAUGUUGCAUGCAUGUGUCCCAUGAAUUAAGGGUAAAAUAAUAUGCAAUAUUUGAAAUUGUGAUAAAGGGAACUGCUAUUGCCAGAAUACUUUCUUAGGAAAUCUAGUCAUCUGCUGUAUAUGAUUAGGGAAAUUGAUAUUUUUAAGUGACUUGCCAUGGUUUGAGAAGAAAGACACUGUUGCAUAUAAAAACAUCAGUUCUUUGGCAUCAUUUUCAUAAAUAAAAUCAGCAUAACUAUUUCUUUUUCAAGAUAGGUAAAAUGAUAGUUAUAUUUUAAUUGCAGUAUUGUAUGCUACAUUUAGAGUGACAUGACCAAAAUAUAUAAUCCUGUAGAUUAUCAUAUAUACAACCUUACAACAAUCUGACUGAGAUAGGACUCUUUCUAGGCCAAAUCAUGGAAAAGCAAAGUUGAUGUUCAGCAUCCCCGUUAAUUACUAGGUCAUUUUAUUCACUCAAAGACUCUCUAGGCAACUUUCUUGGGUAUUGUUCUUGAUCUGAAGUCUCCUGAAUGAUCUUCUGAAAAUAAAGUGUAUUUUGUUAUAACCAUACACUUCAGCCACACUACUGAUCAUAUAGUCCCUGAGAUUUAUCAUCACAUUUCACCUCUCAUCAUUGUCCUUUAAGUAUCAAAAAAAUUGUAGUAUUUGUAAACAGAGCCUUUAUAGACAGCAUUCAUUGAUAGAACUUUUGUAUGUGACAGGUUUUAACUCUGAUCUGAGCAAAGGUACUUAAUCUCCAUGCUGGUUUCUUCUUUAAAAAGAAUGUACUAAGAGGGCUUUCAGAAGGAAUAAAUAAAACAACCUAUAUGCAACCCUUAAAGUAAACUUGGAAUCAAUUUCAGAAAAAUCUUUCUUAAAUGAUAAUUGUUAUGAGGAUAAUAGGUAUUAGUAUUUAUUAUCUUUUAGGAUUUUUUUUCCCAUUAUAUGUUCUCUAACUUUCAGUUUUUAAUCAAGGUGCAUCUUAAAUUCAGGUUACUCAAUGGAGUUUCUUUUUUGUAUAAUUAAUGUUUCUUUCCUUCCUUCCAAGGUUAAUGAUAUAUAGAAUAUACCGACAAUAGGAUUCUUAAAUGUAGUAGAUCAAAUUAGAGGGAAAAUCUUAUAAUCUUUAAAAAUGUCUAUCAUUUUAGGAAGGUCUUCGAAAUCUAAUAUAAAACUUUGGAUUUCUGAAAUUUGGGAGGUAAUGUUGGAGACAGGCACACACAUGUUACCUUUUAUGUAUUUUCUGUUUUCUUUUGCAUGUGAAUUUUUUUGUAGAAUGUCAUCAUUAAUAAGCACAAUUGUUCAUUAGUUGCUUCCUCUUAUCAAGUGAAGUAAAAAAGUAUCUUUUUAAAAUUUUCAUGAUGUCUAGUGAUUAAUGACUGUGUGCACCAAUUGUACGUACUUGUUUUCAGAUCUUAUGUUUGAAAAACAAAGUUUAAAAAUCCUUACACAUAAAUAUCUAAAAUUUUAUGUAUAUAUGUUGCAUGUGAUAUACCUUUAUAGCUUAUAAAAUUGUCUUAUCUAAUUUUUAAGGAAAUUAAUUCUGAUUAUCGUACAUAUACAUUAUCCAAUGAACAUCCGAGGGCAUUUGUUGAAACAUGAAGAUGGCUUAAAUAUCUCGCUUUAGGGGAAAUAGGAAACAAGGGACAAUAAUGUCAGUCAUGUUAUGAAAAAUUUAAGACAUCAAAUAUUACUCAGGUGUUAAAAAAGCAACAAUUCUAUACAUUUUUGUAGCCCACAGAAUAAAGUAACUCAUUUAAUCAAUAUCUACUUAAACUUUACAUAAUAUUUGAUUUAUAGUGCUAUUGGUAUUUUUUGUUAGAUUUUAUUGACAAUUUGUGUUGAGAAUGCAGAUAUUAGGGAAACAGGUCAAGUAAUUUUUAAGUAAAAAUAUGUCCAUUCUGCAACAUUCAAUUGCAAAAUACCAUAGCUCUUGCUAAUAUAUCUCUGCAAAAUGAAAACUCAUUAUUUUACAUUUAAUAAAAGGGAACAUUAAUUAUUCCUGCUUGUUUUCAUAAUAUGUUUUAGAACUUAUAAGCUAAAUAAUUUCAUAAAAAUCUUGUGUUGAUAUUGCUUGACCAGUUAAAUGUAUUGGUUUACAUUUGAAUGUGCUUUUAGUUUAUUGAUAUCAAUUAUGUUUAAUUUUAAGGUAAACAAUAACCUAUGGUAUAUGGACUUAAAAAUGUUUUCUGAGAAGCAUGGAUUUAGACAUGUCCAGCCAACAUGGGAUGGAUACUUUUGGGUUCUCCAUAGCAACAAUAUGAAGAAGAAAGAGAAAGAGUGAGACUGACAACAAGAAGACACAUAGACACUGAAUAAUGUUCUUUUGGGUUGUUGUGCAUCCACAGAACAAAUGAGGAAGUUCAUCCUUAAGAAGACAAUCUAGAUUGACAAUGUGCUGAUCUCCAAAUGAAGCAUUUUUAUUGUCUGAGCAAAGAAGAAAAUGCAUCCUUUUUGGGAGCAAAUGAACCACCAGCUUGAAAGGAAAUAUUUGAUCAAGGUAUUGAUGCACAGCCAGAGGAAUGCAUCAAAACAAUAACUCUAAUUCCUAUUAUGGCUGUUAAUUAAUGGAUGAGAAAGGAAGAGAGAAAAAGGAAAAGGGAGGAGGAGGAAGAAAUAAAUUAACAAGAGGAAAAAGAAGAAGGGCAUUGGCAAGAGUGACAGAAUAAAUUAAAAUAUCCAUAAUGCAAAGGUUACUGUAUGGACAUGAGAAAAUGGCUCCAAGGAAAGGGUAAACUUAAAUUUUUUGUAUAAUUUCCAGUGGGGUUUUGUGAAGUUAUGGAUUCUGAUUCAUUAGCUCCAGGAUGGGACUAAGAUUUCUGUGUUUCCAACCAGCUCCUGGGCAACAAUGAUGCAGUUCUGCAUACCACACUUUGAGUAGCAAGGUAAUAAAAGUUGCAGAAAAUGUUGGACAUUUUCACUAAAUCAUGAAAUAAAAAAGGUAAGUUAAUCAGUGACCACAAAGGACUAUCCAAUAAUAAAUUUGGAAAUAAAGACUUUAAAUAGCUUAAGCGAAACAGUUUACACAUACUGGCAAAGAGAAGACUACAAACACUUGUUCAUAAGUGUGGCGCUGUGGAUUUUUUGGAAGGAAACUGUAAGUAUGUAGUGGUUCAAAGGACAAGGCAACUUGAAGUUAUCAGAGAAACAAGGAUAGGUAAAACUUUCAGGAAAACAUUCUCAUGGACUGAGUGAAAUAGUACCAGGGUAAAAUUUAGUAUUGGAGAUGGAAAAGAAAAUGCAGAAUUGGCAACUAUAUCUGACUCAUAAUUUCAGAACAUAGCAAUUAAUUAGAGAAGAAUAAUUGAGAUAAAAAUAUAGGUGUGUGUCAAGGAAGGAAUUAGAUGCAUUAUGUUUUAUUUUGCCUUUGUUGCUGAAGAAGCUAUGGGAAAACCUGUCACAUUAAAAAAAACUGGAAAAAGUUAUGGUGUGGUAUGAAAAUAAUGGUGUUAAGAGAGAUGUAAGGUCUACCUAUGGGUGUAUUGAUUAAAUACUUAGAGGCUCAGAAGAUAAAUGCGGGAAUUGGGCCACUGGUUUUAAUAAUUAGAAGUCAGAAGGGACUGCACUUAUUGAGCAUACACUGCAAGCUAGUAAUUUGUUUCCUAUGUUAUUUCUUCUCAUUAGAAGGCCACGCGUACCCUUAGCAAUAACACUCUUGAUAAAAUGAUGCAAAUGGUAGAGAAGUAGAUUCGGAAUAUGCAUAGGUACAUUUGGAAAAAGAACACAGAAAAGCGAAGCCCAUUUCUUUUAAUUGGAUAAUAAAGGGAGCCUUCUUCCUCUUCCUCUUCCUCUUCCCCUCCUUGCCUCCUCCCCUCUUUCCAUGUUCCCUUCUUCCUCUCCCCUUUCCUUUCCCUCCCCCUCUCCCUCUCCAAGGCCAGGCACAUCCUUCUGUAGAUACUGAGAAACUGUUGAGUAAAUUACUAUAUCCAAGAUCCAAGCUAAUGGCAGCUACAAAUGAUAAAGCAGUUGAUGAUGGCAGGCAGUUUGUCAAUAUUCAUAUCCCUAGAGUCCCAUCCCUAGAGAAAGACAUCUUUUUUCCUGUCUCUUGGUUGUUAUAGCAC